RNAcentral lists this transfer RNA (90 nucleotides) under Clostridia bacterium. RNAcentral's name for it is "tRNA-Ser". It matches the Rfam family "tRNA". From Rfam's summary of the family: Transfer RNA (tRNA) molecules are approximately 80 nucleotides in length. Their secondary structure includes four short double-helical elements and three loops (D, anti-codon, and T loops). Further hydrogen bonds mediate the characteristic L-shaped molecular structure. tRNAs have two regions of fundamental functional importance: the anti-codon, which is responsible for specific mRNA codon recognition, and the 3' end, to which the tRNAs corresponding amino acid is attached (by aminoacyl-tRNA synthetases). tRNAs cope with the degeneracy of the genetic code in two manners: having more than one tRNA (with a specific anti-codon) for a particular amino acid; and 'wobble' base-pairing, i.e. permitting non-standard base-pairing at the 3rd anti-codon position. The record is from RNAcentral. Lineage: Bacteria; Bacillati; Bacillota; Clostridia.
GCAGAGGUAUCGAAGUGGUCAUAACGGGGCUGACUCGAAAUCAGUUUGUGCCAAAAGCACACGAGGGUUCGAAUCCCUCCCUCUGCGCCA